RNAcentral lists this ribosomal RNA (167 nucleotides) under Fusigobius signipinnis (signalfin goby). RNAcentral's name for it is "partial 12S rRNA". The record is from RNAcentral. Lineage: Eukaryota; Metazoa; Chordata; Actinopteri; Gobiiformes; Gobiidae.
CACCGCGGUUACACGGGGGGCCCGAGUUGACACAUACCGGCGUAAAGGGUGGCUAGUAAACUUCUAAACUAAAGCCAAACACUCUCAAAACUGUCAUACGCACUCGAGAGCAGGAGGCACUUCUACGAAAGUGGCUUUAACUUCUACAACCCACGAAAGCUAAGGAA